GGGCGAAUAGCUCAGUGGUUUAGAGCGCCUGCCUUACACGCAGGAAGUCGGGGGUUCGAAUCCCUCUUCGCCCA
This 74-nucleotide transfer RNA is filed under the name bacterium HR33. It matches the Rfam family "tRNA". From Rfam's summary of the family: Transfer RNA (tRNA) molecules are approximately 80 nucleotides in length. Their secondary structure includes four short double-helical elements and three loops (D, anti-codon, and T loops). RNAcentral also lists the same sequence under 1 other name. The record is from Rfam by way of RNAcentral.